RNAcentral lists this microRNA precursor (103 nucleotides) under Marmota monax (woodchuck). Lineage: Eukaryota; Metazoa; Chordata; Mammalia; Rodentia; Sciuridae. The record is from RNAcentral.
AGUGGAAAUGAUGGGUGGUGUAAUAAUCUUACAUUUAACUUUUUGAGAAACUACCAAACUGUUUCUCAAAGUGGCUAUAUCAUUUUACACUCCCACCAGCAAU